AGUGAACGCUGGCGGCAGGCCUAACACAUGCAAGUCGAACGGCAGCACAGUAAGAGCUUGCUCUUACGGGUGGCGAGUGGCGGACGGGUGAGGAAUACAUCGGCUUCCACUUUUUCGUGGGGGAUUACGUAGGGAAACUUACGCUAAUACCGCAUACGACCUACGGGUGAAAGCAGGGGAUCUUCGGACCUUGCGCGAUUGAUUGAGCCGAUGUCGGAUUAGCUAGUUGGCGGGGUAAAGGCACACCAAGGCGACGAUCCGUAGCUGGUCUGAGAGGAUGAUCAGCCACACUGGAACUGAGACACGGUCCAGACUCCUACGGGAGGCAGCAGUGGGGAAUAUUGGACAAUGGGCGCAAGCCUGAUCCAGCCAUACCGCGUGAGUGAAGAAGGCCUUCGGGUUGUAAAGCCCUUUUGUUGGGAAAGAAAAGCAGCAUGUGAAUACCCCGCUGUUCUGACGGUACCCAAAGAAUAAGCACCGGCUAACUUCGUG
Molecule: ribosomal RNA, 492 nt
Filed under: uncultured bacterium
Lineage: Bacteria
Description: partial 16S ribosomal RNA
Rfam family: Bacterial small subunit ribosomal RNA
Source: RNAcentral